AAGGCAAUCAGCCAAGCUUUUCUAAUGGCAUACAAGUGUAAAUCAUAAAGUCAACUGUAUUCAACAUAAUUUACAUUCCAAAGUCGACAUCGACCAAUCACUAUAGGUAAGAAGACAUUAUAGUUUACCUCAGUUCCAGUGGCAAACUUAUCAAACUCGAAAACUCCCAUGGGACCAUUCCAAAUAAUGGUCUUGGUUGUAUCUAGUGCAUCGUUGAAUGUCUUAACUGAAUCUGGUCCGACAUCCAACCCCAUCCAACCAUCAGGAAUUUCAGAUGCCGGCACAACCUGCAAAAAUGAUCUUUUUUAGUUAUUCUUGUUUUUUUUUCAUUAAUAAAAUAUAGUUGAUGUGCUUGCCUUAUUAUCCACAAUCCAUUAUAAAUGGGAACCAUCAGUUUAGACUAUUUUGAAAGGGCCACUAGAUGUACAAUAAAUAGUGAUGUCAUUAAAGUCAGAAUUUUGGAUCUAUAAAUAGAGGCAUUAAAUUAGCAAACCUUGCUCUGUGCAUCAGGUGCAAAUUUAUCGGCAAUAACAACAUCAGUUGGCAACAAAAGAGACACGCCCUUAGCUUUGGCUUUUGCGAGAAGUGAUGUCGCAAGCUCAAGUUUGUCAUCCUC
This 616-nucleotide long non-coding RNA is filed under the name Musa acuminata (dwarf banana). RNAcentral's name for it is "long non-coding RNA (MACU_LNC002295)". Lineage: Eukaryota; Viridiplantae; Streptophyta; Magnoliopsida; Zingiberales; Musaceae. The record is from RNAcentral.